RNAcentral lists this ribosomal RNA (764 nucleotides) under uncultured bacterium. Its description in RNAcentral is "bacterial SSU rRNA". It matches the Rfam family "Bacterial small subunit ribosomal RNA", at positions 712 to 1504 of the family's 1533-position model. The record is from RNAcentral.
AGGGUGAAGACAGGCCUCUAGGACGCGACUGACACUGAGGGACGACAGCUAGGGUAGCAAACCGGAUUAGAGACCCGGGUAGUCCUAGCCGUAAACUAUGGAUACUAGUUGCCCCCGCUUAGCGAGGGUGACGUAAGUUAACGCGUUAAGUAUCCCGCCUGGGGAGUACGACCGCAAGGUUAAAACUCAAAGGAAUUGACGGGGGAGCGCACAACCGGUGGAGCAUGUGGUUUAAUUCGAUACAAAGCGAAAAACCUUACCUGGGCUUGACAUAUAUCUGCAAGCUCUAUGAAAGUAGAGCCGCCUUCGAGGGUGAUAUACAGGUGUUGCAUGGUUGUCGUCAGCUCGUGUCGUGAGAUGUCCGCUUAAGUGCGGUAACGAGCGCAACCCCUAUCGUAUGUUGCAUAUCAUGCGAGACUGCCUUGCAGCAAGCAGGGAGGAAGGAGGGGAUGACGUCAAAUCAGCAUGACCCUUACGUCCAGGGCUACACACAUCCUGCAAUGGGGAGGACAGCGGGUUGCAAAGGGGCAACCUGGAGCUAAUCCUUAAACCUCUCCUCAGUUCGGAUUGUGGGCUGAAAUUUGCCCACAUGAAGUCGGAAUCGGUAGUAAUCGCAGGUCAGCAGACUGCGGUGAAUACGUUCUCGCUCCUUGUACACACUGCCCGUCAAGCCAGCGAAAUCGGCAAUGCCCGAAGUCUCCACAAUUUUUUGGGGCCUAAGGCAAGGUCGGUGACGAGGACUAAGUCGUAACAAGGUAACCGUA